RNAcentral lists this RNase P RNA (164 nucleotides) under Lachnospiraceae bacterium. RNAcentral describes it as "partial RNase P RNA component class A". It matches the Rfam family "Bacterial RNase P class A", at positions 1 to 155 of the family's 367-position model. Rfam says of the family: Ribonuclease P (RNase P) is a ubiquitous endoribonuclease, found in archaea, bacteria and eukarya as well as chloroplasts and mitochondria. Its best characterised activity is the generation of mature 5'-ends of tRNAs by cleaving the 5'-leader elements of precursor-tRNAs. Lineage: Bacteria; Bacillati; Bacillota; Clostridia; Lachnospirales; Lachnospiraceae. The record is from RNAcentral.
CGACCCGGAAACAAGCUUGCAGCGACUUUAGUCGCCUGGUGAGGAAAGUCCGGGCUUCACAGGGCAGGGUGCCGGAUAACGUCCGGUGGAGGUGACUCUAAGGCUAGUGCAACAGAAAAGAAACCGCCAAUUUUACGCAAUUUUGCGUAAAAUUUGGUGAGGGU